GCGCACCAGUCGCGAAUACUUUACAAUGUGCGAAAGCACGAUAAGGGAACUCUGAGUGCCUCCUAAGGAGGCUGUUCAGGUGUCUAAAAGCACCUGAAGGAAGGGCUGGGUAAGACCGGUGCCAGCCGCCGCGGUAACACCGGCAGCCCAAGUGGUAGCCACGUUUAUUGGGUCUAAAGCGUCCGUAGCCGGCUGGGUAAGUUCCUUGGGAAAUUUGGCUGCUUAACAGUCAAGCUUUCAGGGAAUACUGCCCGGCUUGGGACCGGGAGAGGUCAGAGGUACUCCGAGGGGUAGGGGUGAAAUCCAUUAAUCCUUGGGGGACCACCGGUAGCGAAGGCGUCUGACCAGACCGGGUCCGACGGUGAGGGGCGAAGGCUAGGGGCGCGAACCGGGAUUAGAUACCCGUGUAGU
This 411-nucleotide ribosomal RNA is filed under the name uncultured microorganism. Its description in RNAcentral is "bacterial SSU rRNA". It matches the Rfam family "Archaeal small subunit ribosomal RNA", at positions 330 to 745 of the family's 1478-position model. The record is from RNAcentral.